This is a long non-coding RNA of Gopherus flavomarginatus (Mexican gopher tortoise), 1888 nucleotides long. RefSeq lists it as uncharacterized. The record is from RefSeq and is a predicted model, not a curated record. The transcript has 4 exons. Lineage: Eukaryota; Metazoa; Chordata; Testudines; Testudinidae.
UCCAUUCUUGCUGUCAACUCUGCUAAGAUUUUUGUAUUUGGAAUUCAUGGUAUUGAAUAAGAAAGCCAUGUUGAAUGGUCUUUAGAUUACAAAUACCAAGACCUCCUUGGUGCAGGGAGGGAUUUCUGAGAUAUGAGCAUGUGCACUCUUGCACUAUCACCACUGAUCCUUACAGGGUAACCUCUGUUCUACUCCCACCUCAAGCCAAUUAGCUGAAGAAACUCACUUGGAAAAGUAAUUCUCCAGGUGCAGUUGAGGCAACAACCUGCAAGAGCAGAGGAGUCGUGCAUCAUAAUCUGGAAGUGGCAAAAUUCAGCCUGGCCUUGGUGGAAGCAAAUUACACAGCCUCGCGUCCUCCACCAAAAAUGUUUUUCUCCCAGACAUUGUGAAUUUUAGGAGUAUUCAGAUCUGAGAUCUUAGCCCAGGUCACAUAUCAGUGUUAAAUAGAUGAUUAAUAAAUAGCUGCAUAUUCUUGUACUGUUUAAAUGAAGGGAAAAAACCCUCAAACUAAUUUAAAGGAUUAACAAAAAGAAAUUAGAAACGCUACAGUAUUCUGAAAUAGAUGUAAAUGCCAAAUAUCGUCACAAAGGGAAAAUAAAUAGAAAGAAUACCAAGGUGAAUAUGAAAUAAUUCUGUUGACCGACAGUAAUUAUUGUAGAUAUUUAUAUUUGGUUUUCACACGUGACUGCUACAAAUGCCCAUAAAUAUGAAAAAAUAUUAUUUGUAUUAUAGCAGAGCCCACAAGAUGCAUGUACACAUAAUGUAUAUAACAUGAAAUCACAUAAAACAGUAAAAACACUUCUUUAAUUCAGAGUAUGAGAUAUGUAAAAAAGUGAAAUAUAACAGGAAACAAUGCCUGCCAACACAAACAAAAAUGAACAAAAUAGCCUGGAGUGGGGCUGUAAAGUAUCAGGAAGUUCUCAUUUAAACAAUGUGGAAAUAGCCAAAUAAAGGUAAGCAAAUGGUGGAAAACAUGCUUGGAAAGCAUGGCAAUAAAAGAUGAUGGGGGAAAUAUAAAAUCCUCUGUUCAGAUCUCACUGCAAAUAUCAAGACUUCCAGUUAGUAUUACAAAAAGCAAGCAUGACAGCACUGAAAGGGACAGCAGAGAAAUGACUCCACCAACCAGUGGUUCUAGAGCUUUAUCAGCUAUGUGGAACAACAGUAAGCACAAUUGCUUAAUAGAUAAGUUUCAUGUUUGGAGCAAGGACAGAUGAAAAUGUUAAAAUUAUUCAUACUAAAUUAUUUGCUUAAAUAUAUUAAAAUUGCCCAUCUGAAGAAUGAUAAACAAAUAGUACUUCAUACAUCUGGGUAAGAAAAGUGAGGCCAACACAGUAAAUUUUAAUUUUUCUUUGUUUAGUUUGCAUUACAAAAUUACUAAUAUACACUUAAUUAAAGCAUAACACUUAUGAUGGUGCUCACUUGGAGGAUGAGGCACUCUAUGAAAACACUUUAAAAGAGGCUAGUAGCACAGUAGUAAACCAAGUAUUUUGUUUGCAUCAGCAUUAUUGACUUCUAGAAUAAUUUAAACAAUAAAAAAAAGUAGUCAUUCCUAACUCCAAUGAAGUAAGAAACAGUGAAUGAGUGUGCACACAAGUGUAUCUGGCAGCCAAAUACUGAAGUGAGAGAAUGCACCUUUUCCCCCAGGUUUCCACCAGGUAAAGGUUUUCUUUAAGCAAAAUCCUUAGGUUUUUGAAGCAAGAGAAUUUAAAUGAUGCCCCUCAUGUAACACGUACACUACAGCUCUAUUGAGUUGAUAGUGGAUUUAACAGUGAUUGAGAUUAACGAAGUGAUGGGGAUACUGAAAAGCACAGCAUGUACUAAUUUAUUUGGAAAAAAAGUUUCACUCCUUACAUAUUCCUCUACAGGUUAUUUUUAGUUAUCUUCAUUG